RNAcentral lists this ribosomal RNA (950 nucleotides) under Hymenochaete sp. Its description in RNAcentral is "partial large subunit ribosomal RNA". It matches the Rfam family "Eukaryotic large subunit ribosomal RNA", at positions 34 to 968 of the family's 3401-position model. The record is from RNAcentral. Lineage: Eukaryota; Fungi; Basidiomycota; Agaricomycetes; Hymenochaetales; Hymenochaetaceae.
GUGAUAGCAUAUCAAUAAGCGGAGGAAAAGAAACUAACAAGGAUUCCUUAGUAACUGCGAGUGAACCGGGAAGAGCUCAAAUUUAAAAUCUGGCGGUUCUGCCGUCCGAGUUGUAAUCUGGAGAAGCGUUUUCCGCGUCGGACCGUGUACAAGUCUCUUGGAAUAGAGCGUCAUAGAGGGUGAGAAUCCCGUCCAUGACACGGACUCCCGAUGCUUUGUGAUACGCUCUCAAAGAGUCGAGUUGUUUGGGAAUGCAGCUCAAAAUGGGUGGUAAAUUCCAUCUAAAGCUAAAUAUUGGCGAGAGACCGAUAGCGAACAAGUACCGUGAGGGAAAGAUGAAAAGCACUUUGGAAAGAGAGUUAAACAGUACGUGAAAUUGUUGAAAGGGAAACGCUUGAAGUCAGUCGCGUCGUACGGAGCUCAGCCUUGCUUCUGCUUGGUGUAUUCUCCGUGUCGAUGGGUCAACGUCAAUUUUGACCGGUGGAAAAGGGCUUAGGGAAUGUAGCGUUGUUUCGGCGACGUGUUAUAGCCUUAGGUCGUAUGCAUCGGUCGGGAUUGAGGACCGCAGCACGCCCUUGUGGCCGAGGGUUCGCCCUACGUUCGUGCUUAGGAUGUUGGCAAAAUGGCUUUAAGCGACCCGUCUUGAAACACGGACCAAGGAGUCUAACAUGCCUGCGAGUGUUCGGGUGGAAAACCCUUGCGCGUAAUGAAAGUGAAAGUUGGGAUCCUUCGUAAGGAGGUGCACCGACGCCCGGCCCUGACGUUCUCUGACGGUGCUGCGGUAGAGCAUGUAUGUUGGGACCCGAAAGAUGGUGAACUAUGCCUGAAUAGGGUGAAGCCAGAGGAAACUCUGGUGGAGCUCGUAGCGAUUCUGACGUGCAAAUCGAUCGUCAAUUUGGGUAUAGGGCGAAAGACUAAUCGAACCAUCUAGUAGCUGGUUCCUGCGAGCU